Molecule: unclassified non-coding RNA, 266 nt
Filed under: Hevea brasiliensis (rubber tree)
Lineage: Eukaryota; Viridiplantae; Streptophyta; Magnoliopsida; Malpighiales; Euphorbiaceae
Source: RNAcentral
AUUGUGAGUUAUAGAAAUAGUGUUCUGUCAGAGAAGUUGGCAAAUUUCCCUUAGCAUGUAAAAUAUGUCAGAGGAGCAACAAAUUGCAGAAUUUGUUUGUUAUAUAGUCUUCUCUAGAUUAAACGCCACCCUCUCUCCUCCCUCCCCCCCCCUCAACAAACAUCAAAACCCCCAAAAAAAAAAAAAAAAAAAAAAAAACACACACUAGAAAAUUUAAUUUAAUUUACUUCCAUCCCAAUUGUUCAUUAUUUUUUUCAUUAUGGCCC